RNAcentral lists this ribosomal RNA (433 nucleotides) under uncultured bacterium. RNAcentral describes it as "partial 16S ribosomal RNA". The stretch from base 45 to 433 matches the Rfam family "Bacterial small subunit ribosomal RNA", at positions 39 to 507 of the family's 1533-position model. The record is from RNAcentral.
GGGGGGGGGGGGGGGGGGGCGGGGCGGGGGGGGGGCGGGCGGGGGGGGCGGGGCUGGGGGGGCGGGGGUGGGUGGCGCGGGGGGGCGUGCCCUUAGGUGCGGAGUCACUCCGCGGGAGGGGUGCUGCGACCGGAUAAUGUCUUCGGCCCACAGAGGGCUCGCCUUUGGGUGGGCCCGCUGUGGAUUCGCUAGGUGGGAGGGUAAAAGCAUACCCAGGCGACGCUCCAGAGCUGGUCUGAGAGGAGGAGCGGCCACACUGGGACGGAGACACGGCCCAGACUCCUAAGGGAGGCAGAAGAGGGGAAUAUAGGACAAUGGGCGAAAGCCUGAUAAAGCAAUGCCGCGUGAGUGAUGAAGGCCUUAGGGUUGUAAAGCUCUUUUACCCGGGAUGAUAAUGACAGUACCGGGAGAAUAAGCGCCGGCUAACUCCGUG